Molecule: long non-coding RNA, 1057 nt
Organism: Nelumbo nucifera (sacred lotus)
Lineage: Eukaryota; Viridiplantae; Streptophyta; Magnoliopsida; Proteales; Nelumbonaceae
Source: RefSeq, a predicted model, not a curated record
GCAACCACCAAUUGGCAACCGAGAACCAGUAACUGGCAACCAACAACCGGUGACGUGCUCACCGGCAUCUUAUUCUCUCCGUACUCCACCAAUUAACCUUAUUUUUCUAUUCUCCACAACGUCUUGUUCUAAGAGAUCUCACCGGUAUCCGGGAUCCAGCAAUCGAGGACAUGCUCACCGACAUCCUAUUCUAUGCAUACUCCUCCUCCAUCGCUUAGCCUUGUUUUUCUUAUCUCCAACAAUAGUGUGUCAUCUUCUCAAGUACAAGAAGAAAACUCCCGAUGGUUAAUCAACUUCAAAUGGAUAAAAAAAGGAUAGAGGGUGGCCCACACUUUGUGCGGAAGUUGGUUUUUGAUCUAGAUGGAAAUGAACCAGAAAAGAUUGAUGUUACCAAUGAUUUAAAUGAGAAGGUGGGAUAUCAAAAUAGGUAGAAGGAUUUAAGCACAAUGUGACCACCAUGCGUUCUUUAAAGAGGCCAAAGAAUGCUUUGGAAAAAGCAUUUGCAAAGAAAACAAGACGGAAGAAGGACCAAUCUAAUGAAAAAUGCUCUAUACAGAAGCUAAAGAUGGGUGGAAUGUGUCUAAGGGGAAUAUGACAGAUGUACAAAACUUUGACCAAACUCUCUCAUAUACCCAGGAUUCAUUUGUUCAUGAUCAUUGUGUACAAGGAGAUGUGCCAGGCAAAGUUUUUAGAGAACCCAUUAUGGCGGAUCUCAUUUGAAUAGGCCUCAUCAGACAUUGGACCAUAUCAUGCAAUGGACUUAUACCAGUUCUAAGAAAACUGAGUCACAAAUUUUCUCACAUUUUCAAACAGGUAUGCUUGGAUUUUGGAUUUUGUCUUCAUAGCCAAUCAUGGAACGGAUUUCAGAGUUCAUGGAUGGAAAUUUAGUAUAGAUUAAAUGUCUAAUUUAUUCAUAGUCAUGUAAUAAAGUAUUAUUUAUAAUUUAGUGAUCAACCCACUAUGCCAUUUAGAAAUUAAGGAAUUUACAAUAAACAAUCAACUUAAUGACAUAUUUACUAGAAAGAUAAAUCAAUUGUUAUUCAAUGCAUUCAUUAUC